GUGGGGGAUAUUGGACAAUGGGGGCAACCCUGAUCCAGCGACGCCGCGUGAGGGAAGAAGGUUUUCGGAUUGUAAACCUCUGUUGACGGAGAAAAAAAUGAUGGUAUCCGUUUAGAAAGCCACGGCUAACUACGUGCCAGCAGCCGCGGUAAUACGUAGGUGGCAAGCGUUGUCCGGAAUUACUGGGUGUAAAGGGAGUGUAGGCGGGAUAUCAAGUCAGAAGUGAAAAUUACGGGCUCAACUCGUAACCUGCUUUUGAAACUGACAUUCUUGAGUGAAGUAGAGGCAAGCGGAAUUCCUAGUGUAGCGGUGAAAUGCGUAGAUAUUAGGAGGAACACCAGUGGCGAAGGCGGCUUGCUGGGCUUUUACUGACGCUGAGGCUCGAAAGCGUGGGGAGCAAACAGGA
This 406-nucleotide ribosomal RNA is filed under the name uncultured bacterium. Its description in RNAcentral is "bacterial SSU rRNA". It matches the Rfam family "Bacterial small subunit ribosomal RNA", at positions 354 to 777 of the family's 1533-position model. The record is from RNAcentral.